AAUAGAUACCCCGGUAGUCCACGCCGUAAACGAUGAGUGCUAAGUGUUAGAGGGUUUCCGCCCUUUAGUGCUGCAGCUAACGCAUUAAGCACUCCGCCUGGGGAGUACGGCCGCAAGGCUGAAACUCAAAGGAAUUGACGGGGGCCCGCACAAGCGGUGGAGCAUGUGGUUUAAUUCGAAGCAGCGCGAAGAACCUUACCAGGUCUUGACAUCCUCUUGACCUCCCUAGAGAUAGGGAUUUCCCUUCGGGGACAAGAGUGACAGGUGGUGCAUGGUUGUCGUCAGCUCGUGUCGUGAGAUGUUGGGUUAAGUCCCGCAACGAGCGCAACCCUUGACCUUAGUUGCCAGCAUUCAGUUGGGCACUCUAAGGUGACUGCCGGUGACAAACCGGAGGAAGGUGGGGAUGACGUCAAAUCAUCAUGCCCCUUAUGACCUGGGCUACACACGUGCUACAAUGGAUGGUACAAAGGGCUGCAAGACCGCGAGGUUUAGCCAAUCCCAUAAAACCAUUCUCAGUUCGGAUUGUAGGCUGCAAC
This 536-nucleotide ribosomal RNA is filed under the name uncultured bacterium. RNAcentral's name for it is "bacterial SSU rRNA". It matches the Rfam family "Bacterial small subunit ribosomal RNA", at positions 777 to 1311 of the family's 1533-position model. The record is from RNAcentral.